GACGAACGCUGGCGGCUUUCUUAACACAUGCAAGUCGAACGUAAAGGCCCUGCUUUUGUGGGGUGCUCGAGUGGCGAACGGGUGAGUAACACGUGAGUAACCUGCCCUUGACUUUGGGAUAACUUCAGGAAACUGGGGCUAAUACCGGAUAGGAGCUCCUGCUGCAUGGUGGGGGUUGGAAAGUUUCGGCGGUUGGGGAUGGACUCGCGGCUUAUCAGCUUGUUGGUGGGGUAGUGGCUUACCAAGGCUUUGACGGGUAGCCGGCCUGAGAGGGUGACCGGCCACAUUGGGACUGAGAUACGGCCCAGACUCCUACGGGAGGCAGCAGUGGGGAAUAUUGCACAAUGGGCGGAAGCCUGAUGCAGCAACGCCGCGUGCGGGAGGACGGCCGUCGGGUUGUAAACCGCUUUCGCCUGUGACGAAGCGUGAGUGACGGUAAUGGGUAAAGAAGCACAGGCUAACUACGUG
RNAcentral lists this ribosomal RNA (468 nucleotides) under uncultured bacterium. Its description in RNAcentral is "partial 16S ribosomal RNA". It matches the Rfam family "Bacterial small subunit ribosomal RNA", at positions 28 to 507 of the family's 1533-position model. The record is from RNAcentral.